CAGCCGUAAACUAUGCGCGUUAGGUGUAGUCGGUGACCACGAGUUACCGAGGUGCCGAAGGGAAACCGUGAAACGUGCCGCCUGGGAAGUACGGUCGCGAAGGCUGAAACUUAAAGGAUUGGCGGGAGCACCACGAACAGGUGGAGCCUGCGGUUUAAUUGGACUCAACGCCGGGAAGCUCACCGGAUAGGACAGCAGAAUGAUUGCCGGGCUGAAGACCCUGCAUGACUAGCUGAGAGGUGGUGCAUGGCGUCAGUGACU
RNAcentral lists this ribosomal RNA (261 nucleotides) under uncultured archaeon. RNAcentral describes it as "partial 16S ribosomal RNA". It matches the Rfam family "Archaeal small subunit ribosomal RNA", at positions 748 to 1008 of the family's 1478-position model. The record is from RNAcentral.